This 497-nucleotide ribosomal RNA is filed under the name uncultured bacterium. RNAcentral describes it as "partial 16S ribosomal RNA". It matches the Rfam family "Bacterial small subunit ribosomal RNA", at positions 28 to 507 of the family's 1533-position model. The record is from RNAcentral.
GAUGAACGCUGGCGGCGUGCCUAAUACAUGCAAGUCGAGCGAACAGAUGAGGAGCUUGCUCCUCUGACGUUAGCGGCGGACGGGUGAGUAACACGUGGAUAACCUACCUAUAAGACUGGGAUAACUUCGGGAAACCGGAGCUAAUACCGGAUAAUAUAUUGAACCGCAUGGUUCAAUAGUGAAAGACGGUUUUGCUGUCACUUAUAGAUGGAUCCGCGCCGCAUUAGCUAGUUGGUAAGGUAACGGCUUACCAAGGCAACGAUGCGUAGCCGACCUGAGAGGGUGAUCGGCCACACUGGAACUGUGACACGGUCCAGACUCCUACGGGAGGCAGCAGUAGGGAAUCUUCCGCAAUGGGCGAAAGCCUGACGGAGCAACGCCGCGUGAGUGAUGAAGGUCUUCGGAUCGUAAAACUCUGUUAUUAGGGAAGAAUAAAUGUGUAAGUAACUAUGCACGUCUUGACGGUACCUAAUCAGAAAGCCACGGCUAACUACGUG